GCUAGGCAAAAACUAUACUAUUGAGCUAUAUCCUCAGCCCAUUUUAUUUUUUAUUUUGAGGCAGUGUCUCACUAAGAUACUGAAUCUGGCUUCAAACUUUUGAUCCUCCUGCCUCAGUCUCCCAAGUUGCUAGGAUUAUAGGAAUGUGCCACCAUGCUCAGCCUCUAUUUCUAAAAAAAAAAAAAAAAAAAAGAUCCCUCUUCCAGGCCUCUCAACUUUAGUCUCUGGGGGAAAGAGAAUUACCAGUCCAGGAGACUUUUUUUCCUUCUAUGUUCUUCAAUGUCUUCUCUACGAAAAUGACUGCUUUAUUCUGAUCAGGUGGUAUCUGCAUCUCACAGGUGAUUGUUUUUGGUCUCUUAUAUCCAUCAUCACUCCUCCACAUCCUGUCGCAUGUAUAAGUAUACAUUUAUUCACUCUGCUUUUGGUAAUAUACCUGUUUACACUCCCAUCUGGGUGUAUGCAUUAUUUUAUUAAUUUAAUUUUACCAAAGAAAAGAAUGGAGCAUGAUGUCCUCUGUUAAACCAGUUUCUCUUCCCGAGUAUUUUUCUUUUUCUAGUUGUGGAUGAACACAAUACCUUUAUUUUACUUGUUUAUUUUUAUGUAGUGCUGAGAAUAAACCCAGCGCCUCAUGCAUGCUAGGCAAGCAUUCUACCAGUGAGCUACAGCCCCAGCCCCUGAGUUUCUUAAAUUUAAAUGCCACUACCUGAGAAACUAGUGGUUUAGGCAUCAGUUUUAUUUAUCACACUAUGGUAGUCAGUAUGGGACUAGUAGACUAGUCCCUAAGAGGUUGGCUAGAUUUAUGUGACUUGUAUUUUGUUAGUAUAGUACUAUAAAAAAUGUAGUUGGCCUUUUAUCUCUGAUUUUAGGGCAGUUUCAUGUGCUAAUACCUGCCCUUUUCUAGAUUUUUUUUUUUUUUUGGUACUGGAACACACUGUAACUCUACCAUUAAGCUGUAUCCCAAACUCCUUUUAUUGAGACAAGGUCUCACCAAGUCGCCUAGGGUGCUCUUGAACUUGUGAUCCUCCUGCCUUAGCCUCCCAAAUUGCUGGGAUUAUAGGUGUUCACCGCUGCUCCUGGCCAGUAGUCUGAUGCUUUACACCUGCUGACAAAUAGCUAUUUUAAUAGUUUGUUGUCAAUGACAACAAAUAGUAACCCAUAUUCAUGUUGCUAAAAUUCUCUCUCUCCUAGAUCUACAAGCUUGCUAGAUAAAGUCACUGUAGGCUACAAUUCUACCACAUAUUUUCCUACUACAUAACAGUGUUUGUCAUCCUUCCAGCCUCCAGCAAGAUCUCUGCUGCCCUCUGUGUAAGUUAAUAUCAUACAUGUUACGGUUUUUUGUUUCAUUUUGUUUUUUGUGACUCUGGGAGUUGAACUCAGGGCCUCAUGCAUGCUAGGCAAGCUGUCUACCACUGAGCUCUGUCCCCUAGCCCUUUUUAAUUUUGAGGGUACCAGGGAUUGAACUCAGGGGCAUUCAACCACUGAGCCACAUCCCCAGCCCUAUUUUGUAUUUUAUUUAGAGACAGGAUCUCAUUGAGUUGCUUAGCUCCUAGCUUUUGCUGAGGCUGGCUUUGAACUUGUGAUCUUCCUGCGUCAGCCUCUGGAG
Molecule: long non-coding RNA, 1603 nt
Filed under: Marmota monax (woodchuck)
Lineage: Eukaryota; Metazoa; Chordata; Mammalia; Rodentia; Sciuridae
Source: RNAcentral